GACGAACGCUGGCGGCGUGCUUAACACAUGCAAGUCGAACGGUGAACGAGGGAGCUUGCUCCCUCCGGAUCAGUGGCGAACGGGUGAGUAACACGUGAGCAAUCUGCCCCGAACUCUGGGAUAAGCGUUGGAAACGACGUCUAAUACCGGAUACGACGCGGGUGGGCAUCCUCUCCGCGUGGAAAGAACUUCGGUUCGGGAUGAGCUCGCGGCCUAUCAGCUUGUUGGUGAGGUAACGGCUCACCAAGGCGACGACGGGUAGCCGGCCUGAGAGGGUGACCGGCCACACUGGGACUGAGACACGGCCCAGACUCCUACGGGAGGCAGCAGUGGGGAAUAUUGCACAAUGGGCGCAAGCCUGAUGCAGCAACGCCGCGUGAGGGACGACGGCCUUCGGGUUGUAAACCUCUUUUAGCAGGGAAGAAGCGAAAGUGACGGUACCUGCAGAAAAAGCACCGGCUAACUACGUG
Molecule: ribosomal RNA, 470 nt
Filed under: uncultured bacterium
Lineage: Bacteria
Description: partial 16S ribosomal RNA
Rfam family: Bacterial small subunit ribosomal RNA
Source: RNAcentral